UACGAAGGGGGCUAGCGUUGCUCGGAAUCACUGGGCGUAAAGCGCACGUAGGCGGCUUAUUAAGUCAGGGGUGAAAUCCUGGAGCUCAACUCCAGAACUGCCUUUGAUACUGAUGAGCUUGAGUUCGGGAGAGGUGAGUGGAACUGCGAGUGUAGAGGUGAAAUUCGUAGAUAUUCGCAAGAACACCAGUGGCGAAGGCGGCUCACUGGCCCGAUACUGACGCUGAGGUGCGAAAGCUAGGGGAGCAAACGGG
RNAcentral lists this ribosomal RNA (253 nucleotides) under uncultured bacterium. RNAcentral's name for it is "partial 16S ribosomal RNA". It matches the Rfam family "Bacterial small subunit ribosomal RNA", at positions 524 to 776 of the family's 1533-position model. The record is from RNAcentral.